Molecule: RNA transcript, 1186 nt
Organism: Drosophila simulans
Lineage: Eukaryota; Metazoa; Arthropoda; Insecta; Diptera; Drosophilidae
Exons: 2
Source: RefSeq, a predicted model, not a curated record
GAAAUGUGUUUGAUUUCCUUUUCGGUUCUGUCAAUAGGUCAUGAUGAUACUGGGUAGUCGGUGGGUGGUGGUUGUGGUGCAGAUUUCUGUUGAUUAUUCCUUAUAACGACUUUGGCUCGCUUUCCGCAUGUUCUGCAAUCAUUUGCAUAAAUGUUGACUUGGCAACGCCAAAAAAAAGAAAAACAUUCCCAUCACGGUAUAUUAUAUAUGGUUAUAAAUAUAUGGAAAUUCUUGAUUUGUUUGCGGACUUUCCUUGCAGAAUGAGGUUAACUUCAGGUUGUAAACAGUAGAUAUGCGGGCAUUGUGCAAAGGAAUUCAAGCGUAUAAUGAUCGUCAGAUGGAUAGACAAUGCCAUAAACAAAAUGAAUUGUCAUGAUUUCCGCCGCUUAUACAACGCAACAAAGAGCGACAAUUCAAUCCGAUAUCUUGGCGCGUCGCACCUUUGAGAUUUAAUUUGAUUGUUUACAAUAAUAAGUCAUGGCUUUGCCGAAGAAAGGGGGACACACACCACACAUACACGGCAGACAAAACGCUACAUCGAAAUGCAGAGGAAAAGUAUAUUAAUCAUUUUCCCCCAGCCGCCGGCGGGAAAGUCCAAGGCGCAGCGGCAGCGGAGCAGCCACCCAUCGAUGGACCAUAAAAUCCAGCAAAUUGUUUAUAAUGCACAUGGCACACAUAAGGAAAAUUGUUUCUAUUCGGUUUCUGCCGCGACCAAAACUAAUCUCCGAUCCCAACGGCCGCGAAGAGAGGCAGGGGUUCAAUGUCCGCCACGGACCAGCGGACGACGGACAACGGACAGUUGAACGGACGGACGGACAGACGGUCGGAACAGCGGACAGGGAAGCGGACUUGGACACGAAUUCAAACUCGGAACAGGUACGAGAGCGUAAGAGUGGUAAACGGAACAGACAUAAGCAAAAAACAUUUCGGUAACGAUUUUGUUGUUGUUUCCCCACUCGAAAGGCGAAAAAAUGGGUGGUGCUGGGCACUUGGGGCUUGGUCAAAGAAUUGCAUGCAAAAACAAAUGCCGAAACUAACUGAAAAAGAAAGGCGGGCAAAAGUUGAGAGAAGUCGAUGGGGGAAAUACCCUUGUCGUACAAGCGGCGAUAAACGGUAAUAAUAUAAUGAUUUAUUUUAAGCGGUAAUAGGACGUGAUUGUUCAAUAAUAAACAUUUUAUUAUAUUUC